Puntigrus tetrazona (Sumatra barb) is the source of this 805-nucleotide long non-coding RNA. RefSeq lists it as uncharacterized. The transcript is spliced from 3 exons. Lineage: Eukaryota; Metazoa; Chordata; Actinopteri; Cypriniformes; Cyprinidae. The record is from RefSeq and is a predicted model, not a curated record.
GCUGAAGCCCGGAUGUCUCCUCGGACCCUGACCUUGCUGCGGUGGUCCUCGUAGCGGCUCUGGUCCCAUCUCUGCUGCAGGCCUAAUUGAAACGGAAUUGAUCUGGAGGCCGGUGAGUAUCGACAGACAGCGAGGUGGAUGUGGUUCCCGAUCCUCUGAUGUCCACCAGAUGGAGUCAUCCCCUCGUCUGGUGAUCUGAAGGCGAGCGGCCAUGUUUCACGGCGUCGCCGGGUCAGGACGAGCGCAGCUGGACGUUAAAAGACGUCGGCGAUCCAGCGGAAACAUCAGUCUGGAACGAGACGAGACGACCCUGACGUCUGCGCUAGCUCUGGAGCCGUGUUUCCAGUCGAUGUGCGUAUCACUCAAAACAACCUCACCGCUGUGCUCCAGACGCUUGAUGCUUCACUAAGUGAUCAGAUGCACCGUUUUCCAUGAAACGGCCUGGAAAAAAACCACACGGCCUAGCGACGAGCUGUCAACCGCAAAAACACACCGAUAUUCCAGCCUGUGUUUUGAAGAGACGUUGGCGCUUGCAGCUUUGAAGACGUACUCGCGGAGCUUGUGUUUUAAAUUACUCGUGUUUCCUGUGAAAUACCCUUUUAAGAUGCUCCUCGGAGGAUGUUUCGAAUCAUGCAUUGCCGCAAAAUGCUUCCCUCUCUGCAAAAAGAUAUUCUUUCCAGUGUGCUCCUCGUUCUCAGAGACGUAUCUAGAUUACGUAAUCCGAUUAAGAAAUACUGGUAAUUAGAUUACAUUACUUGUAUUGGAUUAUAAGUACUUGUAAUUAGAUUCUAUUACAUUUUAUUGA